This 507-nucleotide ribosomal RNA is filed under the name uncultured bacterium. RNAcentral's name for it is "bacterial SSU rRNA". It matches the Rfam family "Bacterial small subunit ribosomal RNA", at positions 15 to 518 of the family's 1533-position model. The record is from RNAcentral.
GAUUAUGGCUCAGGAUGAACGCUAGCUACAGGCCUAACACAUGCAAGUCGAGGGGCAGCAGAUCGAAAGCUUGCUUUGAUGCUGGCGACCGGCGAAUGGGUGAGUCACGCGUGUCCAACCUGCCCCCCGCCCGGGGAUAGCCCUUGGAAAUGAGGAUUAAGACCCGAUAGGUGCGCCUUCCGCAUGGCGAGCGCAUGAAACUGGCGAGGGAUGGGGACGCGUCGGAUUAGCUUGACGGCGGGGCAACGGCCCACCGUGGCGACGAUCCGCAGGGGUUCUGAGAGGAAGGUCCCCCACACUGGCACUGAGACACGGGCCAGACUCCUACGGGAGGCAGCAGUGAGGAAUAUUGGUCAAUGGCCGAGAGGCUGAACCAGCCAAGUAGCGUGCAAGGAUGACGGCCCUACGGGUUGUAGACUGCUUUUGCGGGAGGAUAAAGUGCGCCACGCGUGGCGCUUUGCAGGCAUCCCGUGAAUAAGGACCGGCUAAUUCCGUGCCAGCCGCCGC